GAACAGUAAAUGCUGAGUGAGGUGUAUUUUUGGUUUUUGUUGUUGUUAUUUUUAUCCUGAAGCUCCAAUAAUGUACCAAAUAGAAGACUCAUAAUAUGUACAGGUAAAGAAGCUGAUGGCAGCUGGAUUAGUGAUGUGCCCAUCUCACUUUCUCUCAGAUGUGUCCAGCUCUUCGUGAUCCCAUGGACUGCAGCCUGCCAGGCUACUCUGUCCAUGCAAUUCUUCAGGCGAGAAUACGGGAGUGGGUUGCCAUGACCUCCUCCAGGGGAUCUUCCCAACCCAAGGAUCGAACCUGCAUCUCUGGCAUCUCCUGUAUUGGCAGCAACAUGGAUGGAUGUAGAAGCUGUCAUACUGAGUGAAGUACGUCAGACACAGAAAGACAAGUGUCGUAUGAUACCACUUAUCUGUGUAAUCUAAAACAAAGGAUACAAACAAACUUAUUUACAGAGCAGAAGGAGAGUCACAGAUGUAGGAAACAAAGUUUUGGUUACUACAAGCUAAAGAAAACAGAAGAUCGAGACAGGCUAAGUGAAGAUCACAAAGCCAGUCAAUGUGGAGCUGAAUCUGAGACUGAGGACUUCUAAUGCUUGGUUCAAAGAGCAAGCAGGAGAUAAAAUAGUAGCGUACUGGAUUCAUUAAA
This is a long non-coding RNA of Bos taurus (domestic cattle), 640 nucleotides long. Lineage: Eukaryota; Metazoa; Chordata; Mammalia; Artiodactyla; Bovidae. The record is from Ensembl.